CAGUUCCGAACCCGUCGGC
This 19-nucleotide non-coding RNA is filed under the name Arabidopsis thaliana (thale cress). The record is from RNAcentral. Lineage: Eukaryota; Viridiplantae; Streptophyta; Magnoliopsida; Brassicales; Brassicaceae.